GAGUAAAGCCUAGGAAUCUGCCUGGUAGUGGGGGAUAACGUUCGGAAACGGACGCUAAUACCGCAUACGUCCUACGGGAGAAAGCAGGGGACCUUCGGGCCUUGCGCUAUCAGAUGAGCCUAGGUCGGAUUAGCUAGUUGGUGAGGUAAUGGCUCACCAAGGCGACGAUCCGUAACUGGUCUGAGAGGAUGAUCAGUCACACUGGAACUGAGACACGGUCCAGACUCCUACGGGAGGCAGCAGUGGGGAAUAUUGGACAAUGGGCGAAAGCCUGAUCCAGCCAUGCCGCGUGUGUGAA
This 298-nucleotide ribosomal RNA is filed under the name uncultured Pseudomonas sp. Its description in RNAcentral is "partial 16S ribosomal RNA". It matches the Rfam family "Bacterial small subunit ribosomal RNA", at positions 108 to 409 of the family's 1533-position model. Lineage: Bacteria; Pseudomonadati; Pseudomonadota; Gammaproteobacteria; Pseudomonadales; Pseudomonadaceae. The record is from RNAcentral.